CUCCGUCACCAUUGCGGAGAGGCCCCACCCGCUCUCAUUGCCGAGCACGGAAGUCAAUCUCUCCAGCGCCGAUGGUACUGCACGGGUGACUGGGUGGGAGAGUAGGUCGCCGCCGAAU
This 118-nucleotide ribosomal RNA is filed under the name Desulfobulbus sp. Lineage: Bacteria; Pseudomonadati; Thermodesulfobacteriota; Desulfobulbia; Desulfobulbales; Desulfobulbaceae. RNAcentral also lists the same sequence under 1 other name. The record is from RNAcentral.